AUACGGAGGGUGCAAGCGUUAUUCGGAAUCACUGGGCGUAAAGGACGCGUAGGCGGGUUGGCAAGUCAGAUGUGAAAUCCUACAGCUUAACUGUAGAACUGCAUUUGAAACUGCUAACCUAGAAUAUGGGAGGGGGAGAUGGAAUUAGUGGUGUAGGGGUAAAAUCCGUAGAUAUCACUAGGAAUACCGAAAGCGAAGGCGAUCUCCUGGAACAUAACUGACGCUAAGGCGUGAAAGCGUGGGGAGCAAACAGAAUUAGAAACCCUUGUAGUCC
This 274-nucleotide ribosomal RNA is filed under the name uncultured bacterium. RNAcentral's name for it is "partial 16S ribosomal RNA". It matches the Rfam family "Bacterial small subunit ribosomal RNA", at positions 523 to 796 of the family's 1533-position model. The record is from RNAcentral.